AUGGGUCAAGGCACGGAGGUGAAGACGAGGGAGGACCCCAAAGUGGAGAUCCAGGAGAAGGGCGAGGUGUUCUUCUUCUACCGGCCCAAGGUGGACAAGGAGGAGGCGCACAGCCCCGACGACGUGCAGCGGAUGUACGUCGUGCUGCGCCCGGAGUCCGGCCCCGGCCGCGCCGUCGAGGAGAAGCAGGCGCCGGACUCCGGCAAGGAGGGCAAGAAGAGGAAGACCCGUCACGGCGGCGAUGAGAAGGGCCAGGCGGACGGCGGCAACGAAGGCGGCCACGGGAAGGAGGAGGUUAACGUGGAGGAGAAGCCGCUGCUCCGGCUGAUCGUUAUGGGGAAGAAGAGCCUGCCGGACCCGGCGAAGCACGGCCGGCCGUUCUGGGGCUACGUCGACCUCGUCACCACCGACGUGGAGGACAUCAAGGACGCGCUCAAGGGGGCGGAGUACGACACGGCGACGCGCGGCAAGCGGCACCUGGCCGCGGCGAGGGCGAUGGGCGAGGGCGUGUACCGCAUCCUCAAGCACGAGGGCCGCGGCGGCCGCCCGCACACCCACCUCGUCUACAAGCUGGAGCUGCCCUCGCGCGGCGGCGGCGGCGACGAGGGCGGCGUCGGGGAGCCGCAGGAGGCCAUGAACGUGGAGCCGGAGGCGUCGUUCCUGGUGCAGAUCAAGAACCCGGAGCAGCGCGGCGGGGGCAGGGGCGGAGGCGGAGGGUUCGGCGGGCUGCAGGGCAAGCGGAAGGCCGCGUUCCCGGAGCACCUGCAGGGGCGGUUCGGGAGCAACCGCUACGCGCCGGCCGACCCGCCGGACCUGCUCAACUACGAGGGGUGCGAGCUGCUGCUGAUCUCGGCGUCCGACGACGUCGAGGAGGAGCUGGGCCUGGAGCUGCAGACGGAGACGGAGGAGGAGACUGAGGAAGGAGCCGGUGACGGCGGCGAGGGCGGCCGCGCCGGGGCCGGGUGCUCGGACCUGGUGAAGAUGUUCGGCGAGGUGGCCGACGUGAAGCCGCUGCUCAGCGGGAGCUGGGACUAG
RNAcentral lists this ribosomal RNA (1035 nucleotides) under Triticum aestivum (bread wheat). RNAcentral describes it as "partial small subunit ribosomal RNA". Lineage: Eukaryota; Viridiplantae; Streptophyta; Magnoliopsida; Poales; Poaceae. The record is from RNAcentral.